RNAcentral lists this transfer RNA (74 nucleotides) under Clostridiales bacterium. RNAcentral describes it as "tRNA-Gly". It matches the Rfam family "tRNA". From Rfam's summary of the family: Transfer RNA (tRNA) molecules are approximately 80 nucleotides in length. Their secondary structure includes four short double-helical elements and three loops (D, anti-codon, and T loops). Further hydrogen bonds mediate the characteristic L-shaped molecular structure. tRNAs have two regions of fundamental functional importance: the anti-codon, which is responsible for specific mRNA codon recognition, and the 3' end, to which the tRNAs corresponding amino acid is attached (by aminoacyl-tRNA synthetases). tRNAs cope with the degeneracy of the genetic code in two manners: having more than one tRNA (with a specific anti-codon) for a particular amino acid; and 'wobble' base-pairing, i.e. permitting non-standard base-pairing at the 3rd anti-codon position. Lineage: Bacteria; Bacillati; Bacillota; Clostridia; Eubacteriales. The record is from RNAcentral.
GCGGGUAUGGUUUAGUGGUAGAACAUCAGCUUCCCAAGCUGAGAGUGUGGGUUCGAUUCCCAUUACCCGCUCCA